AUGUAAUUUAGUUCAAAAUAUCAGCUUUUUUUUUGCUUUGAGGAUUGUGUUCGUAGUAGCUGCUGGUGUUCUACCAUUAGGUCCAUUAAUCUAUGUCAUUAAUUGGAGUGCUACCAAGGAAUUCAUUUGUCAUGAUAAAUCAAAUCAGUGAUGCAUAGAACUCAAAUAUAUUAUUAUACUGUUCAAAUAUUGCAAUAUUAAGUUGCUAGCAGUCAUGUUACUCUUGUA
Amphimedon queenslandica is the source of this 228-nucleotide long non-coding RNA. RefSeq lists it as uncharacterized. The record is from RefSeq and is a predicted model, not a curated record. The transcript has 2 exons. Lineage: Eukaryota; Metazoa; Porifera; Demospongiae; Haplosclerida; Niphatidae.